UACGUAGGGUGCAAGCGUUGUCCGGAAUUAUUGGGCGUAAAGAGCUCGUAGGCGGUCUGUCGCGUCGGCUGUGAAAACCCGGGGCUCAACCCCGGGCCUGCAGUCGAUACGGGCAGACUAGAGUGCGGUAGGGGAGACUGGAAUUCCUGGUGUAGCGGUGAAAUGCGCAGAUAUAGGAGGAACACCGGUGGCGAAGGCGGGUCUCUGGGCCGAUACUGACGCUGAGGAGCGAAAGCGUGGGGAGCGAACAGG
Molecule: ribosomal RNA, 252 nt
Filed under: uncultured bacterium
Lineage: Bacteria
Description: partial 16S ribosomal RNA
Rfam family: Bacterial small subunit ribosomal RNA
Source: RNAcentral